UGGCGGACGGGUGAGUAAUGUCUGGGAAACUGCCUGAUGGAGGGGGAUAACUACUGGAAACGGUAGCUAAUACCGCAUAACGUCGCAAGACCAAAGAGGGGGACCUUCGGGCCUCUUGCCAUCGGAUGUGCCCAGAUGGGAUUAGCUAGUAGGUGGGGUAACGGCUCACCUAGGCGACGAUCCCUAGCUGGUCUGAGAGGAUGACCAGCCACACUGGAACUGAGACACGGUCCAAACUCCUACGGGAGGCAGCAUG
This 256-nucleotide ribosomal RNA is filed under the name uncultured bacterium. RNAcentral describes it as "partial 16S ribosomal RNA". It matches the Rfam family "Bacterial small subunit ribosomal RNA", at positions 96 to 353 of the family's 1533-position model. The record is from RNAcentral.